This 254-nucleotide ribosomal RNA is filed under the name uncultured bacterium. RNAcentral's name for it is "partial 16S ribosomal RNA". It matches the Rfam family "Bacterial small subunit ribosomal RNA", at positions 524 to 776 of the family's 1533-position model. The record is from RNAcentral.
UACGAAGGGGGCUAGCGUUGCUCGGAAUCACUGGGCGUAAAGCGCACGUAGGCGGGCUCUUAAGUCGGUGGUGAAAUCCUGGAGCUCAACUCCAGAACUGCCUCCGAUACUGGGAGUCUUCGAGUCCGGGAGAGGUGAGUGGAACUGCGAGUGUAGAGGCGAAAUUCGUAGAUAUUCGCAAGAACACCAGUGGCGAAGGCGGCCCACUGGCCCGGUACUGACGCUGAGGUGCGAAAGCGUGGGGAGCAAACAGG